GGACGAACGCUGGCGGCGUGCUUAACACAUGCAAGUCGAGCGGUAAGGCCCUUUCGGGGGUACGACGAGCGGCGGAACGGGUGAGUAACACGUGGGUGACCUGCCCUCAGCUCUGGGAUAAGCCUGGGAAACCGGGUCUAAUACUGGAUAUGACUCCAUGACGCAUGUUGUGGGGUGGAAAGCCUUGUGCGGCUGAGGAUGGGCCCGCGGCCUAUCAGCUUGUUGGUGGGGGUGAGGCCCUACCAAGGCGACGACGGGUAGCCGGCCUGAGAGGGCGACCGGCCACACUGGGACUGAGACACGGCCCAGACUCCUACGGGAGGCAGCAGUGGGGAAUCUUGCGCAAUGGGCGAAAGCCUGACGCAGCGACGCCGCGUGAGGGAUGACGGCCU
RNAcentral lists this ribosomal RNA (392 nucleotides) under uncultured bacterium. Its description in RNAcentral is "bacterial SSU rRNA". It matches the Rfam family "Bacterial small subunit ribosomal RNA", at positions 27 to 417 of the family's 1533-position model. The record is from RNAcentral.